UACGUAGGGGGCAAGCGUUGUCCGGAAUCAUUGGGCGUUAAAAGGAGCGCGUAGGUCGGUCCGGUAAGUCCGCUCAUUGAAAGUCCGGGGCUCAACCCCGGGAGGCGGGCGAUACUGUCGGGCUAGAGUCCGGAAGAGGCGAGUGGAAUUCCUGGUGUAGCGGUGAAAUGCGCAGAUAUCAAGGAGGAACACCAAUGGCGAAGGCAGCUCGCUGGGACGGUACUGACGCUGAGGCGACGAAAGCGUGGGGAGCAAACAGG
This 260-nucleotide ribosomal RNA is filed under the name uncultured bacterium. RNAcentral describes it as "partial 16S ribosomal RNA". It matches the Rfam family "Bacterial small subunit ribosomal RNA", at positions 524 to 776 of the family's 1533-position model. The record is from RNAcentral.